Molecule: long non-coding RNA, 4993 nt
Organism: Passer domesticus (house sparrow)
Lineage: Eukaryota; Metazoa; Chordata; Aves; Passeriformes; Passeridae
Exons: 3
Source: RefSeq, a predicted model, not a curated record
GACUGUCCCCGCCGCGCUGCCGCUGCCUGCAAGUGCUGCGCCAUCUGACUCACGCCGGCGCUGCUGCCACCGCGGCAAAGAACAGCUCCUGUGCCACGCUGCCGAUUCCAAGCAGCGCCAUCCUGGCGCGGGACAGAAAUAAAGCGGCUCGGAGAAGCCAGCACGGGGUCGUUCCUUAUUUCCUUUACAAUGAAUCUCAGAGGCUGAGCCCGCGUUUCAGCAGCCAAACUGUGACCCUGCCGGCCGGCGGCAGAGGUCGGGCACGGCCGCUCCUGGGCCUGCCCCGAUCGCCUGCAGGGAUUGGGGCACGCUGGUGCACACCUCAGCUGUCUGCAGGGCGCACGGACGCUGCUGCCAAGUGAAGUUCGUGCUCCGUCAAGCGCUGCCGGUGAAUUCGCACACUUUCUGCUUGCUGCAGCUCCCGGGAAAGUCAACCCCCUCCGUUCCAGACGUGAGAGGAGUUUUCCCCUGGUUCAAGGACUACCUCCGAGAUUUUCGUUUCAAGAAUCUUGGGUUUCGAUUUCCCAUUCCCAAAUCUUGGCCCAGUGGAGGAGAAGGCUACAAGGAAGAGGAAGAUGCCCGGAGACACACAGACAGACCUCCUGAGGAGACAUUCAGCAUCAAGAUCACCUGGGGAAUGCUUCUAUCAGCUCUUCUCUGAACUGGAACAUAAAAAAAUACUUGAUUAAAUAAAAAAACCAUAAUGAGGCAUACUUUGAAAUCUUUCAUCCUUAAAGGAACUCUAGACUGACUCCAAUCAGCUGCACAAGCCAUGGACACAUGAAGAGCACCUAAGAAAGGUCCAUCAAGAGCUUUCUGUGUUUUGACGAUCCCCACGGUGGAUAUGGGGCUGAGUCUGGGACCCUGACACACUGAGUGAAGGCUGAAGAAGCUGCUCAAGGAGUCAGCUGCAAAACUCCAAGUCCCCUGGAGCAUGGCUGGGUCCCAGUGAGGGCAGGGAGUGCCAAAGGCUCCCCAGGGACUGGUGAGAGCAGAUCCUUGAGGCCAGGAGUGCAGGGAGCCCAAGGCUCUGGGCAGGGAACUGCAAUGCUGAGAAAGGCCUGGGCUGGCUGGGGGAAGCAGAAAGGCCAAGCCCUGAGCCCAGCCUGGGCCAGCAGGGCCUGUCCCUCACGGGUGGCUCGGGGCACUCUCGGUGGGGCAGGGGGAUGUGAGGGGCAGCAAGGACAAAUGCCAUAAACCUGUGUGACCUUCCAGAUCCUCAUGGAACCAAGGGGCCAGUAGGACACUGUGGGAAGUUGUGGAACCAAGGUAAUCAUUGUGGCACUGUUGGGGCCCAUGGAAUCAAGGAGCCAGUGUGACACUGAGGGGCCUCAUGGAAACAAGAGGCCAUUGUGAGCCUGCAGGGCCAGAACACUGAAAUGCUGGGGGGAACCAAAGGCUCCUUUCUUUGGGUUUGGUGCACAGGAGAAACACCAGAUAUUCUCAACAUGGCCAGAUGCAAAGAAUAUUCUUGGUAGGAAGGGACCCACAAGGAUCAUCAAAUCCAGCUCUUGAGUGAAUGGCCCACACAGGGAUUGAACCCACAGCCUUGGUGAUACCAGCACCAUGCUCUAACAAACUGAGCUAAGAGGUCAAAAUGGCACAAAUUUUACUGGCAAAAUAUAGACAAACAAGGAACUUUGGCAAAGAGUUUAAUACAACAUCCACUUCAACAUAAAACUCUUACCAUAGCAUUAACUUCACUUAGCCCAUUUACCUAAAAACUCUUAACACUUAAGGUGUUAAGAUACUCAAAAACAUUCCAGGUAAGUAGGAUUAGAUGGAGAAGAAAUAGAGAACAACAGAACGACAGAAAAUCUAUAAGAAGACAGACACAUAGGUACCAACUGAUCAGGUUCCAGCACCAUUGACAGAGGAAACCCAGGAUCCAGAGCAUGGGCUGGCCUUGCACUCCGGCUUUUAACCCCCUGGGCCUUCAUGGGUCCGCCCCUGGGGUGGGACUGCCAGUGGCUUGCCCAAUCAGAGUCAGGGAUGGCACCAGCUUUUAGUGUGUGAUUGAUUGACAGCUGGACCAAUUAGAGCUGGAAUAGCACGGCCCCUGCUGUGUGAUUGACAGCUCUGCCAGGGCAGGGGGCAGGGCUCUGUCCCCCCACAAACCAAGGCCUGACCCGGGCCUGGCCCUACACGGGCAUUCCGAGCAUCCCAAGGUGUCUUGGGACAUUGAUCUCAUCCAGCCUCUGACAGAGACCGCAGGGACACUACAGAACUUCAUGGAACCAAGGGGCCAUGGUGACCUUGUAGAGCCCGCAAUGUCACAGAAGAGCCAUUGUGACACAGCGAGGGCACAGGGAGCCAGGGGCCAUGGUGACACAUCAGGGCUUUGUGGAACCACAAAGACAUUGUGACAUUGCAAGGCCUCAUGGAAGCGCGGGGCCAUUGUGACACUGCAGAAGCAGGGGGAACAUUGUGACACUCCAGGGCCUCAUGGAACCAAGGAGACCAUUGGGACACUGUGGGGUCCCGCGAAACCAAGGGAACAGGGAACAGGUCUGGCUGGCUGGGCCUCCUGGGGACCACCUGAUGGGUCCAGGUGACCUUGGCAUGUUGAGGGCUGCUUCUCAUCUGCCCCUGAAGCACUGGGGCUCUGGGCUUUCCUUCCUAGGGGAGAGAAAUGUCCUUCUCCUCCAGGGCCCAUUGCCAAAAUUGGGAUUCCACCUCCAAAUUUCCUGAUAUGCAAACAUUGUUUCCAGAAGAAAUCUGCCAGGAGAGACAGAUCUGUCAGCCUUGGCCCCCCCAGGGGCCAUCUCUCAUCUGCCUUUGAAACACUGGGACCAUGUGCUUUUCUUUCUUAGCAGAAAAAAACAUCCAUCUUGACCAGGCACUCACAGCCAAAAUUAGGAAUCUACCUCCAGAAUUCCCUAUAUCCAAGGAUAACUCCCAGACAAAAGCUGCCAGGACUGACAAGUCUGGCUGGCCUUGGCUUCCAGAGGGCUGGCAUUCAUGUGCCUCUGAAACACUGGGGCUCUGUGCUUUCCUUCCUAAUGAAAAGAACUCUUCUUCCUGUCCAGGCGCCCACAGCCAAAAUGGAGAUUCCACCUCCAAAAUUCCCUAUGGCCAAGGAUAGCCCCUAGAUGAAAGUUGCCAGGAGACAUGGGUGUGGCUUGGCUUGGCCUGAGGGUGGCCACCUCUCAUCUUCUUCCAAAACACUUGGACUUCACAUCCUCUUUCCUAUAGGAAAAAAAACCAUCCAUCUUGAGCAGGUGCCCAUGGCCAAAACUGGGAUUGCACCUCCAAAACUCCAUACAUCCAAGGAUUUCUCCCCAGUGAAAGCUGCCAGGACAGACAGGUCUGGCUGCCCUUGGCCUCUUGGGGGCUGCCUCUCACCUGCUUUCCAAACACUGGGGCUCUGGGCUUUCCUUCAUAUGGAAAAGAAUUAUAUUUCUUCUCAUGGUGUGUGUGGUCAAAAUAGAGAUUCCUCUUCCCAAAUUCCAUAUAUCCAAGGAUUCCUCCUGACAAAAGCUGCGAGGACAAACAGGUCUGGCUGGCUUGGCCUCCCAAGAGCCACCGCUCUCCUUUUCUGCCUUUGGAACAUUGGGCUCUAUGCUUUCCUUCCUAUGGAAAAGAACUGUCCUUCUUGUUUACACAGAAAUGGCCGAAACUGGGAUUCCACCUCCCAAAUUCCCUAUAUCCAAGAGUUGCUUUUAGGCAAAAGCUUCUAGGACAGAGAGGUCUUGCUGGCCUAGACCUCUGAUGGCCACCUUCCAUCUGCCCCUGAUACACCAAUGUUCCAUGCUUUCCAUCCUGUGGAAAAGAACCGUCAUUGUCAUCCAGGUGCCCAUGUCUGAAAUUAGGAUUCCACCUGGAAAAAGCUGUAUAUCCAAGGGUUGCUCACAGGCAAAAUCUGCCAGUACCAUCAAGUCUGGCUGGCCAUGGCCUCCGGUGACUGCCCCUGCUACACUGGGGCUGGGUUCUUUCCUUCCCAUGGAGAUCACUGGGACACUGUGGGGACCUCAUGAAACCAAGGGGCCAUGGUGACAUAGUGGGGCUUCAUGGAACCCAGAGACCAUUAUGGCUCUGUGGUGCCUGACAGAACCAUGCAGAGCAUCACGACCCUUCAGGGCUCUGUGUUACCAAGGGGGUGACAUUAAGGCACCUCAGGGCCUCAUGUAAGCAAGAGACCAUGUGGACACUGUCAGGCCCCAUGGAACCGAGAGAACAUGGAAUAGGUCUGGCUGGCUUGGCCUCCCAGGGGCCACCUGACAGGUGUGGCUGACCUUGGCAUGUCAAGGGCUUCACAUCUGCCCCUGCAACACUGGGUUUCCGUGCUUUCCUUGCUAUGGAAAAGAACCAUCCCUCCUUUCAGAUGCCCAUUGCCAAAAUUAGUACUCUCCCUAAAAAUUUUCCUAUAGGCAAGGAUAUCUCCCAGAAAAAACCUGCCAUCUCUGGCUGGCCUUGGCCUCUGAUGGUCACCUCUCAUAUGCCCAGGAAACAGAGGGGCUCUGUUCCUUCAUUCCUAUGAAAAAGAACCGGCCUUCAUGUCUAGGAGCUGUGGCCAAAAUUAGAAUUUGGCCUCCCAAAUUCCUUAUGUACAAGGAUUUCUCCCAGACAAAAGUAGCCAGGACAGACAGGUCAGGCUGGCCCUGUCCUCUGGUGAUUUUCUUAGACUAUGAGCUGCAUGUUUUCAUUUGAAAAAACCUUGGAGAGGGCCCAGAGAUCUCCCAAGGAGGGGUUUUGAGGCCUCGGGCACAUGACCACUACAUAUGAACAAAGGAGCUCUGUGUUCUGUGAUGUUGUGGUGCUUUUGCAUCAUGGAAGUGAUGUUCUAAAUGAAGCUGCUAGCAGUUUCCUCUGUCUCUGGAAAAAAAAACCCAAACAAACAGUAAUUAGCUCUGAGAAUUGACAGUCUGUUUAACCACUAAGGAAAGUGUACAUGCCUCUGUGAAGACACAUGUUAAAGAUGAGAAAGCCUGAGAGGGUCUCUUUCCCUUCUGGCCAGCAAAGAGGUAACAAGGCUGGCCCAGCCCCCGUCUCA